Molecule: unclassified non-coding RNA, 395 nt
Filed under: uncultured Sordariomycetes
Lineage: Eukaryota; Fungi; Ascomycota; Sordariomycetes
Description: sequence contains ITS2
Rfam family: 5.8S ribosomal RNA (bases 1-154)
Source: RNAcentral
AACUUUUAGCACCGGAUCUCUUGGUUCUGGCAUCGAUGAAGAACGCAGCGAAAUGCGAUAAGUAAUGUGAAUUGCAGAAUUCAGUGAAUCAUCGAAUCUUUGAACGCACAUUGCGCCCGCCAGUAUUCUGGCGGGCAUGCCUGUUCGAGCGUCAUUUCAACUCUCAAGCCCCCUGUGGACUUGGUGUUGGGGACCGGCGACAGCCUCUCUUGUCUGUCGCCGCCCCCUAAAUGAAUUGGCGGCCCCGUCGCGGCCCUCCUCUGCGUAGUAGCUAACACCUCGCAACAGGAGCCCGGCGGCGGCCACUGCCGUAAAACACCCCAAUCUUUUUUAGAGUUGACCUCAAAUCAGGUAGGAAUACCCGCUGAACUUAAGCAUAUCAAUAAGCGGAGGCU